Molecule: long non-coding RNA, 24369 nt
Organism: Motacilla alba alba
Lineage: Eukaryota; Metazoa; Chordata; Aves; Passeriformes; Motacillidae
Exons: 2
Source: RefSeq, a predicted model, not a curated record
AAAUUGGUCAGUUCUGGUAAGCAAGGGAUUGACCCCAGGGCAAGACAGUCAUACAACAAGGGGAGAAAAUCUCCAAGGAUUCAAGAGGCAAGGAAACUUCACCCUGCCAGACCAGCAGGUCACGGAGCAGAUGCCUCAUUCCCUUUAUUACCUGGUGACCAACACGAGCCCCGGUUCAGCUUAAGGCAAGACCUACCCAGGGGAGCAAAACAAAACCAUGUUCUCAUCAGAGUAUGUUUGCAGUCGGACAAAAACAGGUAACGUGUUAUAAACAUCAGAUUGUCUCCAGCUGAAAUAUUCCUCACAGCUUGCAGUGGUGGGCUGGUUGUUAUUCUCUUAAUUUAAGCUGCCUCCCCAUUGCUCUUCAAACCAUUCUCAGUAUCUUUACCAUGGAAUUCCAAAGCACAAAGACAUGAAUUAAACAUGAAGCCCCUGUAAUCCUGAGGUGGGAACCAUGCUAUGGUGGGCUGACCCUGCUGGGCACCAGGUGCCCCCAAAGCUGCUCUGUCACUCCCUCCCUCAGCCAGGCAUGGAAGAAGAAACACAGGGUCAGAAUAAGGAAGGGGAGAUAGCACUCACCAAAAUGGGCACAACAGACUUGGGGAAAUUAAUUUAUUACCACUUCAACCAGUUAGGGUAAGGAGAAAUAAAAACCUCUUCCUUCCACCCCUCCCUUCUUCCCGGGCUCAACUUCACUCCUGACUUUCUCCACCUCCACAGCACAGGGAGAUGGACACAUCUGCCUGGGAAUCUCUGCUCUGGUGCCUGGAGCACCUUCUCCCCCUCCUCCUGCAGUGCCCUGGGGGUCUGUGCAGAGCUGUUCCUCUCACAUAUCCUCACUCCUCUCUCCAGCUGCAGUUGUGCAGGUUUUUCCCCCUUCUUAAAUCAGUUGUUCCAGAGGUGUGUCUGUCCUGGAGCCAGCUGGAAUUGGCUCCAUCAGACAUGGGGGAAGUUUCUGAGCAGCUCCUGCAUCUCCCCACUACCAAACCCUCGCCCUGCAAACCCUAUGCACAUCAAAGCUUCAGCUCAAGCCUGCAUUUACACCCCACUCCUUUCCUAGGUGCUGACAUCUGAAAGCACUGAGUGUCUUUCUGUGCAUUAGGAAGCUCUUGUCAGCCCAAACUCAGCAAAUGGAAGGAGGCUGAUUAUUUUAUGGCCUGCAAUUAUUUCUUCAGCUGACUUCUCAAGGUGGCACCUUGCUAAGGACAACAUCCCCACAUCACUUGGCAAAUUGAUGUGAUUACCUCACAGGAUUAAAAACAUGCUACUCCCCAGACAGAGACAAAAGCCUUCUGGAGACAGAGGUGUGGUUUCACUUCCUCUGAUUUACCAGAUACCUACCUGGCUCACAAGCUCCAACUGCUCCUGCAAAGAACUUCAGAAAUCUAGGGAAAUGCGUGUGUGUCUCUUGCCAUAAUCACAUUCCAAGCAGAGAGCUGGGCUGUUUCCCACCACAGCUCUGCUGCCUAACUCCUAUGGGACUCCUGCUGAUUUUAUAAUCUUCAAAUAAUGGCUUGCAGCUUUGACAAUCCAAUUUAGCUUUUGCUUGAUUUUCCCCCCACCUCACCUUGCAAACACUUCACUGGAAAAAAAUGUCCAUCCUUUUUGCUAAAAUGUUCAGCAUCCCCAUGCCAUUUGCUGUGCUGAGAGAACAGGGAAUGUGGCAGCCACCCAAGAAUACCCCAGCCCCAUAUCUGGCCCUCUGACCCAAGGAAAUUUAAUGCUUCAGCAAAGAGCUUUCUGCUCCCAGGCAAACAGCCCUUCCUCUUGAAAAUGCACCUCUGAUUCUUUCAAGCAAAUUGCCUCAAAAGAUGAGUACCAGCCACUUCUCUCUUUGCAUCCUGCAGCUUCCUGUUGUCACAGGUGAGGGAGGGCAGCUCUGCUCUAAGAGCUCUCACUUUCAGAAAAGAAAGGUCAGAAAAUGGAAAACAGAAUGGAUACCAGAAGAAAGGUUAAUUAUGGAAGUAUUAAAAAUAUCUUCUGUGAAAUAAGAAGCUUUAUGAGCAGUUUGUCUCCCAUCUCUAGCACAGCUCGUACCACGGCGCCAGUUAUACCUGUGCUCCCUGCGCCGUCCAGACACUGGCAGCUCUCAUCCCUUUCUCUUAAUCAAAGGAAAUAUUAACCCAAACAUCUCUCUGUGCACGUCCCUGUACCUGUCUCUGCAGGCAGGUGGUUUACAUCUGCCCUUUUGAGCGAGCUGCUGUGCCCCUAGAGAGGAGAGCCUUGAAAGGCAUUUGCCAGUAUUACCCUGCCUCAAAAGCCAAGGCCUCCAUGAACUCCCAACCUUUAUUUUUAGCAUUGUCCACGCUCAUUAAGGUCUGUUUCUUCCCCAAGACGUGACCCUGGCAACCCUCCAUGAACCAGAGAAGAAUCAAAGGACAAAGGACCCCAUACCUGUCUGUGUUAUGGUUUAUGUUAUGCUUGCAGACACUGUCACGUUCUAUUUUCAGAUGAAAAAUCAAGGAGAUACUUUAAGACACCUUUGCCAUCAAAAUUUCCCAGCCUGGUUUACAUUUCUACAGGCAAAUAAGUGAAUUAAAUAUAAACACUAAACAGACACGCUGAGUAUUCUUUUAUACAAUCAUCUGAUUUUCUGUUACACAGAAGUUUCAGGAAGCAGCUGAAACAUGGAUGUUUGAACAUGCUGCAGCCAUCAGUCAGUCAGACACACCUCUACUCCCAAAGCUGGAAGAAUCCCUUCCUCUGAGAGAAAAUAACCCCUCAGUUAAACUUAAAUGACACCCCACCAUCAAGUCUGGCAUCUUACCAAAGGCAAACCACCUUUCAAAUCCCUUGGAUGGGAUCUUCUGAACCCAACCACCACAGCAAACAGCACCUGAUUUAUGUACAGCUAAGAUGAUGCUCCUUUUACUCCAGGCUAACUCAGCCGUGUUACUCAGGCCUGAAGGUGAUGCAUUUCUGAGUGCCCCAAAGUGCUUUGCUAGUAGUUCCACAGGCAAGAUUCCAUGACUGUAGUAAUUAAGGCAGUAAAAUAUUAGGAAAAAGGCAUUACACGGUGAGCAAGAAUCUGAAUAUCCCAUACAAAUACCCUACAAACCAACAAAGAGCAAUUAGCUCUGGUAACUAAGUGAAUGAAAAACCUGCUAGAAUAGUCUGAAAGAAAAUGCUGGUAUUGGAAUAUCAUCAUUUGUGUGCAAGAGGAAGAAUUCCAGAUCAGGCCAUAAUAAAAUGAUGAGGCAACGGCAGAGGAAGAAGCUUCAUUAGGAGAACAAUGGGAUGAGCUCCAGGAAGCUCCCUAAUGGUGAAUGCAAGGCAGAAUACUUUUAUUGAAAAGUAAUUAUUUCAUGUUUAUUAUAAGGCAAAGCUGUGCAUAUGAGCAAUUACCCCAAUAAUCUGGUGAGCUGCAAGUUCACAACUCCUGCUAAUGCCGUGGCAACCGAUUCCUCUGGUCACACUCCUGGUCCCAUCACUGCAGCUGUUUUUGUCACGGAACCAGACAGAUUUCCCUGCCUCACCUCAGCACUAAUGGAACAUCUUUUAAGUGCAUUUCACAUUAAGACUUUAAAACCCACUGCUUUUUAAAAGGUGCCUAUGGUUAAAUUUUCAUUAUCAUUAAACAAAAUACAAACAGGCCUUCAGGAUUGCUACCCUAAUGAGAGCUGCUGCACUGGGACAAGCCAGAACCAGCUGUGCCCACCUUCUGCAUACAACCCUCAAUUUCAGCAGUUUCUCUGAAGGCUUGACAGAAAGAACCCUCCCAAAUGGACUCAGUUUAGCUGAUGAUCCCAUAUUCAGUCCAAUCUCCUCUUUUCUGAUGUUCCCUUCUAACAAAACACUUCCUAAGAAGCACCUUUCACUUGAUUUUGCACCAUUGUCCCAGAAAAACGACCUUUUUUUCUCCCCAGAAGGUUUGGCAUUGCUGCUGUAUCCAACAGCAGCUGCAGACACAGCCUGAACAAUUUUGCCUCAAAUAUCCCAAUUGACCAGUCAGGUUUAUACUGGAGCCACUGGGAGGAAGGAGAGAAUAUCAAUACUGGCUCAGUGAGAAAUCCCCUGUGUGGAAAAGGAAGUCUCCAGGGUUAGCCUGAAUUCAGGUUGGAAUUCAGCAAAAAAUUGGAAGUACUUUAGUCACCAGUUUCUAAAGGAAAAAAAUAUGUGCAUAUUAAUCUACCAAACUCCUACUGCAUGGACCACUUGUAAGAACAAGCCCCUUAUUAGAGAGGGAAUAUGGAAAAAAAAAGGUAAUUGAGCUGAUAUGGAUUUUUAAGCACUAAUAAGAAGUCUGAUUCAGAAAACUACACUUAAAAAUUAUUAAUACAAACACUGUAAGUCUGAAGAAAGGCAAUCCUGUGGAAUUCUGUACCUUUUAUGAAAGCAACAGCACUAUUAUUACAGCCUGCCUCCACCCCCCAUCAAAAGUCUCAAGUCACUGUUCAUUAAAAAAUGCUCAUUAACUCAGCUCUGCCCUGGCCAGGGGCUGGGCUACUCAUGCAUCUCCAGCAGAAGAGAAAUGCACCAAUUAAUCCUGCCCACAUCUGCAGAGGGGCUGAGCGAGGUCUGCACCAGCAGCCUCUUCCUAUCUUCCACAAAAUCAGAACAAACCCAACAGCUGAGCAUUACCACUGCCAGCCCGUGCCUGCCAGCUACUUUAUGUCCUAAAUUCUUUGAAAUGCAGCUCCCAAAGCUCUUCACUGAGCAGGACACAGCAAAGCUUUCAGCACAUGGAUCUGCAAAUCUCCAAGAAACAGCAUCAGGUACCGUCAGGUGAGGAAAACUGCCCAACAUACCAGCAUGCUGCCUUGUAAAGCUGUAAUUAGCAAAUACCUGAUUUAUGCACAGCUGCCCUCACAUGAACCUCAGCAUUUUGCUUUCAGAACUAAGCUCUGACAAAGAAAUCUCACGCAAUGCACAGACCCGGGCACAUCCUCACCCCACAGGCUGUCAGCAACGCUCACACUGGAAACAGGAAAGAGAAAGGAGGGGAUGCCCAGCCUGAUGCCAUCACCAGGCUUUGUGUGAGCUGGCAUGGACAACUCAACACAACACCAGCUGAACUGAACUGAAAUCCCUGGCAUGGGCUGGAUUUGGGAUCGAGGUGAGCACCACUGGCUGUCUCAGGAUUGGCAGCUGGGCCCAGCAGCCCCUCCUGCUUGGGUUUAUUCCUUCUAAUUAGUCCAGAGCUGGAGAUGAACUGAACUUGGCACAUCAGGACUUCUCACCAGCAGAUCUGGCUCCAUGGGGGCGACUUGUGUGGGCAGCAGCACCUGCAAAGCUCCAGCCCCUCCAAGAAUGAAUGCUGUGCUACUGGGGGAACUGGAAUGGAGAGGGUUUAGCACUGUACCAGGGUCAGCCACACUGUCAUCCAAACCAGUCAGCUGCAAACUGGAGAGUGAUCUCACCAGUAGGCUGUGGCACCCAGCCACGGAGGGCUGUGAACCAUGAAAACUUCAGUUUUUAAAUUGCAUUUUGAACAGAUUCUGUACGCUGGCAAAUGCAGCACAACAAGCUCUGUCUUGAAAAAAUAUAUAUAAAAAAAAGAUAAAGCAUAUCUCUAGAGAAAAACAAUCAUUAGAUAGGAAUAAAUAAAUAAAUACCCCUCUUUGAAGUGAUUUUAAUCUAAUCUGGCUGCGGGAUAUAAUCUUAACAGCACACGUACUGCAGGAUGCUCCACAAAAUAGCAGGUUUAGACAUGUGAAGGGAUUUUUUUUCUCCUAAGAUUUAUUAAUAAUUAAAUCAAAGCAUGUUAAGCUUAAGAGGGAUUUGCAGUGCUUGGGAUUUGGGGGUAAUUGGCACAUCUUCACAAUGACUAUUACCUUCAGCCUUACUUGCACAUCAGGAUGGUUUUUGGUCCAGGCAGCACAGUGUCCCCUGUCACCACAAGGCUCACCAGGAUGGAAGAAUCCCUGCCCAGGGACACCCCUGCAGAGCUAGGAAUCAGUUCCAGUAGAACUUACUACAAUAUUGCCUUUCUUGACUUAAAAAUUUAUCAUUUUCUGAAAUAUAUUCAACAUUUAGUAUUUAUUGCCUCUGUGCUUCUCAGACCAGGUGGUACUUUUACAACCUAGAGUAAAAUCUAGAUGUAAAGCAACUACUAGGAAAUUUCUAACACAGUUUUAUCAUCACAUAAAUGGACCACAUAUACAGUUAUUGCCAAGUUUUUAGAGACACCAGCCUCUGAAGCUCCUGAGAAGCCUUACAGGGUGAGAACACGAAGGAAACAACUCCCCACAAACCACCCCUGGCCACUGAAACAUGGGAAACUGAGCUGGUUUAGAGGAAAGCAAGCUGGUAAAGUCUAAAGUUAGGUUCCUGAAAGUAAACACACAUGUUUGAAAUUCCACGAUUAACUGUGGGCUUGUUCACAAAGCCCCAGGCCAGGAGGAAGCGGGGAGCAUCCACCCACACACUAAAGAAAAAACUCCAAACUAUUCCAAGUUUCCAGCACCCUGGGGUCCCCAAAGCCUCCGUGUGAGGGUUGUUAAAGGCUCGUGGCUGCUCGGCUUUGCUCCUGCCCUGCUCUUCAGCCACAAGGCAGUUCCAUGAAGUUCCAUACCCACCCUGAAGUUGCAGAGCCGCGGGCGGGAUUUACGGCAGCCCCCCGAGCGCACGCAGCACAUGCCAAGUUCAGAGCACAUCAAUGCUGCAGGCAACAACAAAAACUAACCCGGGCUGUGAAGUUUCUUUCCUACAAAUGUCUGCAAGAGCUUGCCAGGAAACGUAAUUGAAUCCGGGCCAAUUUUCAUGCUCCGAGGGAAACUCAGUGUCUCAUUUACCCCCCGGCAGGCUGCUCAACACCAAGGAGAAUAAUUCCUUUUUCCUCUCCCAAAGUAACCUAAAAUGUAGGGGUUUCAAAGACUUGUUCAUGUCAACGGCAGACAUUGAACCCUCCUUCCAACCUCAGCAUUCAAUACAACUCCUUCCAGGCAGCCAUGCUUUGCUUGACAGUGUCUAGACCCAUCCUGCAGGCUUCCUGCCUUUUUCCAGCUCUAAAAGUGCCCUUUAUUUUUGGGCACUUACCAGAAUGGCUCUUUCCCAGGACUGCUGAAGAGCCAGAGAUAAAUCUUAGCGUUUCCUGGAAGAAAAUUACCAAACUAGCACCGUAUUCAUCACCGGCUGGUAUCACAUCCUCUUAAUGCUUUAUAAAUGGAAAACUGCGAAACAGUGGGCAGAGGAGUCGCCCUCUGAAAUGGCAAUAAAUCACAAUAGCAUCGAGUGGACUUGGGGAUAAAUAACUAGGAAACUGAACAAUAGAAAGUCGCCUUUUGUAGCACAGGGAAUGCACUGUCAGCACCUGCCAGCACAGGACCUUUGGCUUUCUGCAUUCAGGUGGACCUUUUGUGGAGCCCUUGCAACAGUUUCGAUCAAAAUCAAUUUUUGCUUCUUGCCAUUUAAUUAACUAUGAUUUUGCUUGUAAACCACGUCACCUUUCAGGCUGACCUCCAUUUAUAAUGUUACUCAGGCAACAAAAUGAGUUCGGUGGGGAAGGCAGGGAGAAUUUAAAUGCUGCCAUAGCACAGCUCUGCCGCUCUCUCCGAGCUGGGAUGGCAACGCCCAACAGGGAAGAAAAGCAAACAGCUUUGGGAUAACAGCACUUAAAUGGAAUAUUGCUCAUAUCACACUCCUCAUGCCCAAGGGCUACUACUGAAGGCUUCUAGGUGAGCAAUUUGAACAGGAUGCAGUGCACUAAAAAAAGCCAAGGAGGCGGCUCUCAGCUUCAGGUAUUGCCACGUGUGACACCAGCUCCAUCAAAUUCACUCCUCGGAUAAAGCAGCAGCCAGCUCAAGGUUAUGAUCUUUGAGUUUAAAAAGCCUUUUUUUAGGUCCGUCCCAAGAGAUUAUUUUAAAACACAGUACUACGCAUCUGCCAAGGAGUAGAACAGUUGGCUUUAAUUGUAAGAUGGAUUUUUACAUAGCUUCUGACCUUUCAUCUAAUUGAGGCCUGAAGAAGAAAAAAAAGAGGAAAAGCUAUACGUCACUUCAGUUAUUAAAAUCCAUCAAGCUCAGACUUUAGCCUUGGGAUAACCACAGCCAAAAAAUUGACUUGCAAGUAAUUAUCACUGCUAUCUGCAAUAAAAGUUAAUUGGACAUAAUUGAACUAAAGCCCUAAUCUGAAUGAAGCUGUUGCUGGCAAGAAGCCUGCUCCUGCCUGCACUCUGCAAAUGGAACUGCUAGCAGGAAAAUGGACAAACACGAGGCUGCUUUACAGUCUGCCCACUGCAAAUCAGAGCAGUUCUGCAAACAGCUCGUUAGCUGGGCCAAGAUAAAGCCAUUAUGAGGGCCUGUCCUCACCAAACACACCCUUCAACUACACCCAAACAGGGCGAUGGUGCAGAGUUUCAAAAAACAAGUUGCAAUUUUAUAGACCUUUUAAUUACAGGCACCGAAACACAAGAUUCACGUCACCAGACGCUGUUUUUAUCAGCUCCCCAACGCUGUCAAUACCAGUACAAAUAAUGUACUUUUUGAGCACGUAAAGAUACCGACUCAAAAGGUUUUCAGUGCUGAUAAUUUACCACCUUCAUGCAGUUCAAUAGCCUUUCCUGUUGUAGGACCAGCUUCUUUCAUCUCUGCAGCAGAGCAGACAAUUAGCUGCUUUCUGUGCUCAGCCCAUGCAGGUGGCUGGGGGAAGGGAGCAUUCUACUCAAUUCCUGCUGAUUCGUCCAUUUAUAUUUUGCAUUUUUGUUAACUAACAGACCAGAAAGCGGUUGUCAAACCCCAUGCUACUCCAGAACUCCUUUACAAUUUUAAUUAUUAACACUCUGUCCUUCACCAAAGCAUAUCAAAGCACUUAACAAACAUUACUGAAGCCACAUAACCACUCUGACACAGGCAAAAAUUGCACAUGACUCCUUUUACAGUUGGCUUCAGGUUUUUUUGGCCAUAUUUAUGUUAGAACAGUGGUCUCCUGAUGAUGGACUAGUCUAUGACAGGAGAGAUGGAGGGAAGUAUUUGGCUCACCACAGGUUCCUGACAUAAUUUUGGAUGAAGCAUUUAAUCACCUGAUGCCAGGUCACUCUUUGUUUGAAGGACAGCAGUGGGUGACAGUUUUCUACCACUGAAGACUGUGAAGACAAAUGAAACUGCAAAGUAUUUAACACCACCUUGACUUCUCACAUCAGGCUUACAAGGUCACAGUCUGGGCAGUCUCCUGAGGACAAAUGGACACAGAUCACCUUUCCCUGUCCUGAGCACCACUUGCUCACCUCACCCCUGCUCCUCUCCAUCUUCACAGCUUAGAACAGAACUUCACAGAUGAAGAAAGCUGCAACGAAGAACCAGUGACAUCGAUUCCCUUUCAUGACCCAAAUCAGUGGCUUACUUUACUUUGCUCAAAGCCCUCACCUCUUUUUAAGAGUAUUUUUAGAUUUAACUCUGUAUUCUGCAACGUGGCAGGAGCUGACAGACAACAGAGGAGUAAAGUAGGUCUUGUCAGGUGUUGCAGGCCACUCCUAAGGUGAAGGAAAGAUGUAGAAAAGACAAGUCAGGACAAUUGUAGGGCCUGGCCAAAGCUUCAAAUGAGGAUUUCUGGCUGUGCUUGAAACACAAAUACUAGUGGUCAGUUGUGAGACAGAUGAGAUACUACUUUUACCAUGGGAACAUAUGCAAGAAAUAGGAAAAUCGACCUGCCUGAAGUCAAAAGCAAUUUGAAUAACUUUGUAUCUGCCUCCUCUCAAUUUUCACUACACUAAAGCACUCUGACCUUUAAUUAACUUUCUCCUUUUAUAUGGUAACUGCCAACUUCAAUUUUUUCAUGCUGUGCUGGUGGGAAACGGGGAUGAAGACACAGCCUGGUAUGUAUCUUAUGGGUGCAUAUGGCUCCAUGGAUAUUUGGGGAGGGAGCAAAGAUGCUACAGCUGAACCACAGCAGCUAAGAGCACAGGCCAGCAUUGUCAUCAAAAUAACUUGCCCUGGAUAUCAGGCUUGCAUUUUUAUUUUCAAAAUGCAAAACAGACUCCCUACCCACCACCGUAACAUUCACAAAAGAUCUCAUUUUCCUCCACAAGAUACUGUCAGGCACAAACAAAUAUUCCUUCCUCCAAAGCACCCAUUAUCCUCGGGGCAAACUAAACCCAACUUCUUCCUACAUGCUUGAGCAGCAUCUCCAACAUCACAGCAGCUCUGAAAUACAGAACAAGACUUACAGACACGAGCGUGCCUGUUCUCAUGUGCACACGAGGGAAAAUUAAGGUUGGCUGAGAUGACUUCCAUCCAAAGGAAACCCAGAACAGCCCAGCCUCUACCAAACUGCAGGAUGCUGCUCGCACAUACCCCAGUGGAGGUACCAUGCAUUCCCACCAACAGACAUUCUCCAUCCUUUAUGCAACUUCCUUCUGCCUUCAAGUGAUAAGAAACCAAAAUACACACUGACCCCUUUCCCAUAGGGGACAGCCUGCAGUUAUAACCUCAACAUCCUCAGCAGGAACAGGGUUAUGUGCAGCUUUCCUACGUGUGCCAAGUGUGGAAGAAGCAUGAGGCUAUAAUUCUGGGCUUUCCUUCACCACACAGGACACACAAGAAAUGUGAGCUUCCUCAUGCCACUCUUGGGCAGAAUUCCUCCCUCUUGGCUUUCUUGCUUUCCCAGACCUGAAAAGGAAGUUUUUCUUAGGUACAGCAAACAGCUGCCUAGGCAAAGGGGAAAGGAAACAUGAAACAGUUCCCUCUCCUGUGGCUGCUUCACAAAGAUCACCAUUUUCAUUAUCUCUUCUCACUCCACACUUACUCUGUAAAAGCCCUGACUUAAAGACUUAAUCAUGACUUACAGAAAUCCUGGUGGCUGCACAUGACAGAAGGAAGACAGUUUUUCCUUCUAAGAUAGUGUUAGAAGUUACAGAUUACGACAGUUCCUGGGUAGGAAAGCAGCUAUCUUUCCCUGUUUAUUCCAAGCUGAUUAUUUAAAAAAAAAAAAAAAACAGAGCUAACUUUGAACAAAUUUUACCUCUAUUCAACAGACAAACAACAGAGCAGACAUUUGUUAGCUAUUGAAAAAUAUGUUUUGAGUCCUGUUUUAAAAAUAGAUCCACUUGAAAAUGAGAAAUAUUUGCAAAUAAGAUGAGGCAGAAUGCAUUAUACUUCAUAACAAAAGAAAAACUGAACCUGUAUGUAAAUGAAUAAAAAUAGGAAAUGACUCACUUUUGGGCCAGGUGUGCUGGUGGUGUGUGAACAUGGGCUCACAGGGAGGAUGGAUUUGGGUUUGCAUUGCUCAUGCACGUGAACCAUUCUGACCUGUACAACCACACUGACAGAUUGGUUUAGUAUUUCUCUCUCUGGACACUGAAUUAUAUUCCCACACGUGGUGAAAUUUUAACAGCCCAUUUACAAAACCAGCAGUGAAAAAUACAUUUUUAAGAUCCAAAACUGGAGAUCUCUGUCUGAUUCUGCACAGCGACAGAGCUUCCAGCUGGACCACAAACACAUCAGCUCUUGGAUACACAUCUUAUCAUUUGUAAGGGCAAGAUAAGACCUCCUUCUGUAGUUGGAGAUACCGUGCUGCCAGCUGCAAAGAUGAAAAGCAUUUUAAGAACCUCAAACAGAAGCUGCAAUACAUGUAAAAAACAGAAAAUAGAAGCCAUCAGGUGAAUACCAAAGAGCUGGACCAGACACUCGGGGUGGUGUUUUCCUGUCAAGCUUCACAACGAGGUGCUGGUGUCCUGCUGGCUUGUCCUGACACAGACCUAAUGUCCUUAUCAAUCUCCCAGGAAACUCAAAGGCCACCUCGUAACAACUCCACAGAAGAAAGGACUAGAAAUAAAUUAGUGGUGAGCUACUGUAACAAGUCUCUGCUAUUCUCACUGCUUUCCUGAGAAGCAUGAAAAACGGCCACUUGCACAGCUGGCAGUUCAAAACAGCCACAGGGAAAGCAACAUGAACAUGCAAGGUGCCUUCAAAACCUUCAAGCACCAGAGGUUUUUGUCUGAAGACCUGAUAAAACAUUUCAGCACAAUCUCACCUGACUCCUUCAGCAGCUGCCAACACACCACCUUUACCUGAAGUUUAUAUUCAUGAAAUGUUUCUUUUUUCACAGAAAGUUUUACAGACUAUAGGAUGUUUUUGUUUGCUUUUGUGCAUCUUUCCUCCUCUGCACUUGCCUUCUCCUUUUAAAAAAAAAACCCAACACACAGAGAGCAAUAAAUAAAUUGUACAGACAGGACACAGAAGGAGCUGAAACUGUACCACAGGCAGAGAGAUCCCUUUGCAUGGCAAACACAACGUGGCUGUGCAGGAGAAGAGAACAAACACUGCUGCUGCAGCCUGCACCUCAACAGCAGACAGAGCACAAAGCUGCCUGCACAAAGGUGAGCUCCUGGUAACCCAUCUCCAACAGCCCUGACCUCCACUGUGCAGCUCCCACUAAAAGUAUCCCCAGGAUUUAAUUUCCAAUUUGUCUUUCCAGCCACGGAAUUGCUUCAGUCAACAAAUUCAAAAAGGUAAAUUUUUCUACCUCCAAUUAACUGCAUUAGCAGUGUUUAUAACUACGUGAUUGAUAAAUGCUCUACAGAAGCUGUAAUUAAUGUAUUUUUUCCUUGGAACACACACCAAACCCCUUGGCGCUCAGACACUUAAUGAAAAGCAAUUUAUCAACUUGCUUUGAACAGCUGAAUCUGACUCCUUAAUGCAGAGAAGUAACACACUUUGCUUGAAGCACCACCACUCAGAGAAAGGAGCGAGCGCCGCGACAUUCCGCGCGCCGUCGGACACCGCUGGGAUCUCGAUGGGGAUGACAGCGACCAGAGCACUCAUCUCCCUGGCUAUGAUUCAGUCUGGCUUAACUGGGAUCCUUUCCUCCUGGGAUGCAGCGGAGCGGGAGAUUCGUGCAGAUGUGCUUUUGCAGGAUGGGGGAUCAGGAGUGCCUCUUGAGGACAAAGUUCCAAAUUCUCCCAUGCCCGGCACGCGCGCGCCGGGAAGCAGCAGCAGCAGCAGCUCUGAGUAUUUCAGCCUGGACAUGUGUUCAGCUGCUCACAAAGCAGACAAAAAUAAAGUGCUUACAGAAUGUUUGAAUGCUAAUUUCUCAAAUUGAGCAUUGCUUUGUAUAGUUGACAUAUGAAAAAAAAAAAAAGAAAAAAGAGAGGAAAAAGAAGCAUUUAGGAGGAAAAGUUUGACAUUACAGAAUAUUUUAUGUCGGUAUUAACCACUGGAGGGGAUUAACCAGCCUUCAAAGCCUAAACUCACAUUUCUGAGAGUAUAGGCUAGAGAUUUCCAGUACAGGAACUGGUCUGUACUCCAUGUGGCAGGCUGAACGUAAGGAUUACAUAUUUCCAUUGCACACGUAAGUCUGUUUCCCAUUCCUGCAGGGUCCUGCUCUCUUCCAUUUGUCUUUUGAUGCAGAUAAAAGCUAAUGCAGAUUGCAACUGCUGAUACAGAGAAAGGCACAAGACACAGCGAGCCUUUGGACUGAGGAAAAAAGGGACUCAGGUCCAGACUGCUCGAGCACGUCAAGAGAUUGUCUUUGAAACUAUAAAACUAGAAAUGAAAGCACUGCGUUUUUAUUUGAUUUGAUCAAAGAGACUAGAAAGGAGGGGGGAAAAAAAUCACAUCUUCUAGAUGCAGGGUAGCAUUUAACUACUUCACACACGAUACGGGACCAGCUGAUCUCAUACAGAUAUGAAUUUGGAGAAAAAACAAAGAGGUAAAGUCACUCCAGCUCUGCAGACACUGCCUGCACAGAUCACUGCUCCAGGCUCUGCAAAGAGCAACAGGAACCUGUUUCAAAGCCAGAAAGCCACUGGAAGCACAUACCCAGCCCUCGCCAUGGGCACAGGCUUCCAGUCUCCAGUGAAAGCAGAGGAGUGAGCUCCUGUCAAAUCACAGGAAAUAGACUCUGAAUGUAACAGCUACUCGAAUAAAUCACUGAUGACUCCCCGUUCCAGUGCUCUGACUGUGGGACAGCAGCACACCGUGGCAAUCUUCCCAAGGAGGGCUUUGGACUGCAAGCUGCAAAGGGACAAGACCAAAAUUCUUGAAGGGAGCAUCUGCUCCAGCGUGUGCUUGGCACCAGGAGAACGAGGCUCUGCAGAAGUACAAAUGGCACUACAGGUAGCAGCUCUGCAAAUCCCAAACUGCAGCGUGGAAAAAUCAAGUACCUACGGCUGCCACAUUCCCUAAGAGAACAGAUUUUAAGUAUCUGCUCAUGGAAAUUUCUAACUGCAGAAGGGGAAGCAUUUAGAUUGCCUCUGGGCUGAAACCAUCUAGGUCUUUGCCUUUCACUAAAAAUUAAGCAGAAGUCAUUUUAACGAGGCAGGCAGACAACAGUCUUGCACAGGAGAUCAAAAAGCUCUCCAGAUGUUUAUUUUAAAUGAAAUUCAGAAGCCAGUAUAAACCAGAUUUUAAACACUGAAUAAUCCUUACCACAAUUUGCAUGAGAAAAACAGGCAAAAGGUUCCAUCCUACUGCUCUGAAACUCUCCAGGAACAUGCAGGCUUGGAUUUUGCUCCUAGACUCUUCAGAUAAGAAUCUGAAAUAUGAACAACUCCACACUGCAAUCUGAUGGCUGUUAAAAUGUUUUUCCCCUGUGCUGUACACUUGGAUGCUCAACACAUACACACAGGGGCAUCACAUGUGAAGGAAGUCUCUGACCUUCCUCAUCAAGACUGUGCAAAAUUAUGGAUUGAAAAGUGUCUAAAAAUGUCAGUCCUAAAUCUUAAACUUCUUCUCCUCUUGCUACUUUCACUGAAUGCCUCCUGAUUGUGCAAAAGCAGAAUUUUCAGGCGUCAAUCUAAGUAGUUUGGGUGUUACGCUGACAAUGUCUCUGCAGAGGGGAAGAGAAGAGAGGACAGAUUUCCAAUAGCUCAGACACUUCCCUGGAAGCAAAGCUGCUACACAGAAAGGAGAUAAAUAAAGAGGGAAAGUAACACGCCAGAGAACUUUCACCAAGGUCAUGUCAGGAUGCUGAACGCUCCCCAUCUGCAGGGGAAGACUGAGAUGCCUGUUCACCACACAUAUCCACUCCCCUGCUGGCAACAACAGCCCUCAUUAAACCAAACCGGUUCUAACCACGAGAGAAAGGACAUUGGGAAGAUGAUAUUAGCUAACAAAUGCAAAAGGAAAACCCAACAGAGGCAGUUCUGGAUGGGUGCCUUCUGCAGCAAAAUACGGCCCCCAUGGCAGGUGCAGAGAGCCCCUGCACGACCUGGGAACAGGCAACACAGGCAAAAGGAUGGACAGCCAUGCUCUGAUCCUGGCUAACAGCUCCUGGCUUGCAGCAGAGAGGAGAUUCCGUACCCAUUCACUCAGAGCAGAACAGGGAUCCCAUCAGGAACAGGAGCUUUUAGGACUUUGCUGCUGCACAGGGUGACCUACAGGUUGCAGUUCCUCCUUGCUCUGCCAUCAGGGCUGUGGACAUGUGGCAGAACCCUGCAGACAGACCCUACCAAGAAACAACAGCCCUACCCCCUAAACAUUGUAUCAGUUACUGCUGUGCCCUUAAUAAGAGUGUUUCUUGCUCGUUUCAGCAAUCUGAAAGACACGCUGGGCAAAAUUUCAAGCUAUGACAAAGUGAUCUUAUCACUUCUGUGCUGUUCUCGCUACACAAGCCCCUGAUUCAGCAGCACGUAAUAAAAUCUUCAUUUGCAUGAAAAGCACUCUCUGAUCACAAAGUCUUCUGUUCGACAGCCCUCUUCCCAUCCACAGCGUAAAGAUGCAAGCACCACUGUCAUUUUGCCUGUGACUGAGGUGGAAUAUUUUAUUUAUGUUUUAUUUGGAGAGGCUCUCAAUGCUUUAAUGCCAUCUUUUCCUAAAAAAACAACCCCGUAUUUUUGAAUAACACAAAAGCUGCACACAUCCCAACUAUGCAAGCAUACUGCAAAGUUCACUCAGUGCACUCACACCUGUAUUUUGAAUAACUGUGUCAUGCGAAGGACAUUUCCUAUCAGCACAAGGUGACCAUGAACAGUUGCAAAAUGCCUUUUUUAUUCAACAAGUCCAGCCAUUUCCAGUUUGCCUUUAGAGUGCUUGGUGUCACGACACACAGCACUCAGAGGAUGUAUUUCAAAGGAAAGGAAGGUGUAGCCAUGCAAAGAACAAUGCACUGCCUGCAACAAGAUUAAUCGCUGUCAUGAGAAACCAAUAAAACCAGUAUCUUGUUAUCUUUCUUUACAAAGGGACUGUUAAAGCUUAACUAUAUUAGGAAACUUUUUCCUUUGGACUAAACCAUGAGCCUAAUGUAUGUGGGCAUCCCACAUGCCAGCAUAUGCGAUUAAUUGGCUCGCGCCUGACGCCGCAGGAGAAAGUCCAACGUUCCAGAGGCAGCGUGGAGCUUUCACACAACCGGCCUGUGCCCUCUCCUGAACACAGCUCUGUCACCAAGGCCAGCCCCAGCUCCCUGUCCCGUGCCAGGUGGCACCACCUCCCAUUCCCACCUGUUAACCGUGUCCCACGUAUGCACCCCAACAUCGCACCCGGCUCCGAGCGAACUCAGCCAAAGCAGAAAUACCUUUCAUCACGUCAGCAGUGCGGUCCCCAUUUAGAAACGCUUUCUUUCACGUUAAUCCAGUGCCAAAACGUGGUGGUGUGGGCUGUGCUGAUCCAGAAACGGUGCUAAGGAUGCUGCUGCCUCCUGUCUAUCACCGCACGCCUCAUCUCGCGCAUGGCCAGGCAGUGACGGCCCUGCGACAACAGGCACUUUAAAUUGGGCAGCUCAGCAGCACAUGUACACUGAAUUUUUGAACAAGCUAUUCUAAGCUGCUUUGCUAGCAAUUUCUGGCCUGUGCAGUUUGAAAGCGCACGGUUCUGGCCCUCACAAAGAGCAGACCUGUAAAUGACAUCUUGAGGAUUAAGCUGAUUGAGAUGCAAUUUGCCUAGCAACCAUUCAUUAAGCAGAGUUCAGAAACAGGCCAGCAAUCUAUUCCACCUCCUUAUCUGAGCAGUAAACAGAUAACAGUCUCUACUGUGUCCUCUGUGCUCCAGUUCAGACACAUUGUAAACAGAUUUUUCAGAAGUUUAAACUCCUACGGUAAAUCUCCGAGAACAAUCCUGCUCUCCAAACACGAGGGAUUCAGCUUUACCAAGUGUCUUACAAGCGAGAAACGGCUCUGGAAGGAGGGUAAUGCAAAUCAAAUUGUGAAUGCAUUUGCAGUUCCUGUGCCUCCAAUAUUUUCUCACAUCAAGCACUAAGAGCCCAUCGCAGCCAUUAAAAAAAAUGUUGAAAAAAAUCUUAAUCACACAAGCAUUUGGCAUUGCUAUUCUGAUCACUGAAAAAAACUCAAUAAAAAUCUUAUUCCCUUCCUUCAUCUUCUGCAAGGAAUCGAUUGACACUUCCAAAGUCUUUGAUAAAGGCUCCCCUGCUGCAGAGAAGAAAACAAAAGUCACGUCCUCCCUCCCAUUAAGCAUUUUUUCCUCAUAAAAUAAGCAAGACAACGCAAACGUCAUCAGUGGAAAUCAAACCAGCUAUUUCAGCCCGAAAAUUUCAGCUGAAAAGAUGAAGCGAAAUCAUGAUUUUGCAUAAUUGUUUCCAUGCAAGAAACAUCUGAUAAUAUCCCAUUCUGCUCCAAAAUUAAACAACAAAGAUUAGCACGGACGUAUUUAAGACUAUAUACCUGGAUGGUUUGCCUUUGGUGUACAGUUCUUCUGGGAAAUCACUGUGACAUACAGCAUGCUAUUACAAUUAAAUAUGCAAGAAAGAAGAAUUAAACUGACUAUGAAUAAUUAAUACCCUACAAUACUACUUCAUAAGGGAAAGUCUGGCUGAAUAUUCCCGCAGAUAAGAUAUACCCAAACACAAGGCACAGCAGAGCUGGCAGCUUUACUUUUAUGAUGGGGUUUAAAACACCAAGUAACUUUAUGGCUGCUACUCAAUUCUAGAGAAGGUGCCAGCCAUCCAAGCCUUUUCCUGCUGGAUUCCCAUCCAGCUUCUGAAAAAUGGGAUAAAUGCAACUGUUGCAGUAGUUGCAGCACCGCUCAUCUACUUCCCAGAGGUAACAGGCUUCCCAAACACUUUCCAUUAAAAGGUAUAAAGCAAUUAUCUGGCAUCCCAGCAGGGACAAUAAAGCAAAUAUGAUGCAACAAUUACUUGGGUGAUAAGAUCAGGCUAAGGUUGUGAGAAAAAACAAUUAAAAAGGGUUGCAAGAGCUAAGGAAUGCAGCUUACUUUCCCAGAAUCUCUCUUAAGGACAAAGAUACCAUCAGCUCCAAGAGCCGACCUUCCUGUUUCGAGUUUACUGUUCUGGAGGCUGCAGAACAUCAACUGUAGCAAAGCUGAAAAGGGCAAUUAAAAAUAUGCUUUUUUUUUUUUUUUUUUUCACAACAUCACCCCUAAAUUGCACAGAUUAGCAUUUACUGAAGUCCUUGUAAAAUUGAUAUCCAACUGUUGGCAUUUUCCACCAGGCUCCAGUCGGGUCAGCGCAGCGCUAAUUGACACAAAUACAUUUGUUGCACAUUUUUAGCUGGAGAUGCCCAGUUCCUCUCAGAUUAUCCAUGCAUGGCACACCCAACACCCCUUCUAGGGAGAGAGAUUUGAAAUCCAACCAACAUUUGUGAUCACUGAGGUGGAACAUGGCACUGCUACCGUAAUUGCUGAAGGUGACAGCGUCCCUCUGCUCCUAGCCCCAAAUUGUUCCAGGAGGGUCUCGUUCCUGCAGGAUCCAACACUCCAAAGCAAACAUGAGCUGAGGGUCUUUCUGAGCACAGGCAAAGCCAUGUUCGAAGUAUUCUGGCUUAAUAUUAAUUUUCUAUUAAAAAUUAAUAGGAUUAAAUGAAGCUUGCAAGCCUAUGGGCACCAAGGCAGUUCUUUUGCUGACGCACUCGUUGCCCAGAGGAGCAGGAUGUGAGGGAUGGGCAGCAGAGCUCCUGCAGGAUCCAUGUGGCUCCUGGAGGGAACAGGGGACUCUUCCCCACGCCCCCAGAGGGACCCUGGGUUCCAUCAGUGCUGUGUCACUCCGUCCUCCUGUCCAGAAACUGGUGGGGAAGAUGAAACGCUGAUGAGAUCCUGGUGAAAACCUUGGUGUCUUCCCACCUGAGAUCCAGCCUUCUCUGGACACUGCCUCCAAAUCUCACCCAUGUGCCCCUUUCCCACUUCCCAGAAUGAAUUCCCCUGCCAACAAGAACCCUGCAAAUAUCCAGAGUUGACGUAAGCUUAACCUUCAGUCCCUAUUAAUGUUAACGGAAUAGGAAAAAAUUAACCAUGGUGCAAGUAAAAAGACUGUAUCUGCAUUUCUAAUUAUACAACAAAACACACCACGUGGCAAUAUUUCCAAGCACCUUGCUGGGAAUAAAAUAGCCAGUGGAUUGAGGCUUCCAUUUGGAGUGGUGGAUGCAAGAGCAACCAGCACUGAGGCUGUCAGAGUUAAGGGAUGAGGACAAGAAUUAAGGGAAAUGAAGUGACAUAUGUGAACGAUGAUAACAAAAAUGUUAAUAAUUAGAAAAAUAGUCACCUUAAAAAUUUAAAAUUUCGUGAUCUCUCCUACUUUUUAAUGGCUUAGCCUACUUUUUCCAACCUAAUUUGCAUGAUCAAAAUAGGCCUCCUGCCAGGAAGCAUUAAAAUGGCAGCCCCCCAUCGAGACAAAACUCCCUUCACCAUACGAGACUGAAGGACUAAUAACUAUUCCUAAAAACAUUUUAAAUCCAUUAACGUUGUUUAGCAAACACUUAUUUAGAAUUAGUGCCGCUAUCAGAAUUUGAUUGUGCUCUACUAAAGUGUUUUAUAAAAGCCUUUGAGGGAGGAGCAGGUCCCUCCCAAACACCUGUGCCAUCUCCAACCCUCUCCAAAAAGCUGAGCACCCUCACACUCCGACAUGCUUUCCAUUCCAAAACCCCAAAGCAUUCUCCAAGACCAACCAGACAAUUCCCAACAGCUCUGCAGAGCGCCAGGAAGAAUCCUCCAGAUGCACAGAGCAGCCAGACUAGAGUACACCAUCCCCACCAACCUCUACACUCAGCAAAUAAUUAAUAUACACCAAAAAAAAACCAGGUCACAGAAAUAUAAACCUCAAUAUUACUGAUGUACAGAAGAUUUGGAUUCCAGUAGAAAUAGAUGGUGGUUUAUAUAAAUUUGUCCGAGCUACGUGUUAUCCUUUCAGUGCCAUCUGCACAAAACCAGAGUUUUAUCUAAGCACUGGAUACUAAAAUAAAUCAUUUUCUCUGUAUCUAUGAUCUUGCUGGAGACAGACGCCACAAACCUGAGAGCUGGCUAGUGCAGGCUUGUCUAGUCACAAAUAAAAUUACAUCCACAUCAAUAUGAUUUAUUUUUAAUAAAAAAAAAAAAAAAGGCAAACCAGGCUCUUCAUAUUGAAACAGGCUCCGCCAGCACCCUCCAUGCCCACAGAAGAUACCACAUACAGUGUGAAAUUGUCAGAAUAAAACUGGGAUUUGCACUGUCAUUUCUCCUGGUAUGAAACACCACUACCAAGAGACACAUUUUAAUUGCCACACGUAAUGAAAAGUACCUGCUCAUUCUCCACUUGCUGUAUUUAUUGCUGUUUAAAUUCAGGACUACAAGUCUUGGCAGGAUAUUUUCUGGUGACUUGAAUUUUUUAGUAUGUCCAUGCACAGCAGAUUUUGAAGAGUGAAUUUGGCUCCCCAAUACAACACUUGUGACCCAUCUCUGUCCGUGCAUGAAUGAGGUUCUUGGGCUGCACUUCUCAAAGCAUCUCGUCCUGAGUGUCCCCUGUGAGCAGGGACCUCGCAGUAAUUAGCACAAUCUGAUACUGGAAACUCAACUAAUUCUAACAUUGAUCCCUCAGGACAGCCCAGCCCAUGAUUUGAGAAAGGUUUGUCCCAAAAGACCCUUUGUUUCUACCUUUCAAAGUCACCAAAGGCUGGUAAAUAAAUUAUAUUCUCCAAAAGCUUUGCAAAUUCCUCUCCCCUGGCUGGAUACAUUCUCCAACCAGCAGCCACAGCUAAAGGUUUAUACAGGAUCACUGAAAGCACCAAACCUGUUUUAUUUUCUAAUACACAGCAACUUCUAACAUCUGCAGUCACUGCUGUGAGAUUGCAAAGGAUUUUAUUUGCCAAGUCAAGCUGUUGAAAGGACAGAUUAUAAAAAAUAAACACUAACCAUUUUUAGAUCUAACUUUCCCCCACAGACUGCAUUUUAUGCCCUUUCAUUGGAAAUGUUACAUCAGAAUAAAAUCAGAUUUAAUUGGCUCUUAAAUAACUGAACAGCCACUUUAAUUUUAUUUCAAUAGCAAUAAUUCAUAAAUCAAGCAGCUGAAAUCCUAGCACGGAGUGACAAGUAAAUAGAGCAGAACACAGGGAAGGAGAGCACGAACACCACACGGUGAAAGGUGAUUUUUCUCAAACUUCACACAUCACCAUUUUAUGGACAUCACAAAGGUACCACCACAUAAACACUCUAAUCUCAAACCUGUCAGUUCAUCAGCAGUAACUGCUUAACAAAGACCUGAUGAUGAUCCUUGCCCAAGUGGAACUGCUAGCAGAAUGGCUGGGAUUUUAGCCAUGGAUGCAAUUUCCCUCAUGCACACUAGAUGGAAGUAUGGAAAAAUCUUAAUUCUUUCCAGUCUCAAAUUCAAGUGGUUGAGAUGUUAUGUUGGACUGUCACAUUCUGAGAAGAAUUUUUUCUUUUGUUCUUCAUCAGCAACUUCACUCAUUGAUAAGCCCUAAGUAAAAAGAUGCCCUGAAAUACUAAACUAAGCAGUGUUGGAAAUUAAUAGUAAACAUAAGAGAAUAUACAGCAGAAGUACUAAAUAUAUUAUUCAGACUAAGUUUUAAAGUACACACAUUCAAUUUCUAGAGUAUUUGAAUAAUAAUCACUAAUGAGAUCCUUCAGAGACACUGAAGUUACAUUUUUUAAACCUCCAGGUUAUUGUAGGAAAUACUACUUUGUCAAUGAAUAGAAACAGGGAAUAGAAAAGGUAUAAAAGGAUUCAUAAAUGCUGCUGCAGUUUUGACUGGAAAAAAACCCCAACAGAUUUGUAGAACAUAGUGGGAGAGGCACAGGGAAAUGGAGAACCUGAAGUCUUGCAGAACAAGCAGAUCAGAGAGCAGCAAACCUGAAUGGGAUUAAAUUACACACAAAUCUCCUGGAAACGAUCUUAAAAGCGACUUGUUCCAAAACAAUCCAUUUCUAAAUUUAAACACUAAAGAGUUCACAGACACAAAAACUAAAUCAGGCAAUGGUGUGACCAGGAAAAGGUGCUGGAAGAGCUGUUUUCCCUCCCCUACUCUGGCUUUUUCAUAUAUUGAUUUUCCUCCACGCUCAUUCACAAACGCUCAGCAGAGCUGUGAACAAUUUAAAGUCAAGGGAUGCACGAAUUACCAGCUCCAGGAACACACCUACCAUUCCAGGCAAAAGCUGAGGGCUUUGCUGUAGCUGAAGAAAACAAAAACCAGCCCAGAAUCAGAACACACUGAUGAGCUGGAAGUGAAGGGCAAGCAAAUCCCUAAUUUUCCCUGUCCACAACAAAGCCAAAGCACAUGACAUUCCUCCAGCUUAGAAGACAGCAAAUGAAGAAAACCAGUGCCAGAACAGAAGGAUGAAAAAAGAACAAUGCUGGAUAAAAGAAUAUAAAGCAGGCAUGAAGGGCUCCCCUUUCCAGAUGUUAAGAAGACAAGCUGUUUUUCAUUCCAGGUUUAAAAUAAGAUAAGCAGAGGAGGAAGUUUACUCGGAGAGUGGGAGCAUCUGCAUAAUUUUUUGAAAAAGGUUCAUACAAAGAUUUCCUUCCAACAGAAUUUAAACUAGAUCUAUACAUAUAUACAUAGAUAUUUGUGGUAUUGGUUCAGGACAGUCACCUUACAGUAUUUUUCCAAGUGUAUUCAAGCAGCAACUCUCUACAGAGAGGAACAAAAUGAGUGGCAAGGGACAGGCACAGGAAAGGGCAGGACUGUGAGACACACAUCCUCCAACAUGCACACUCCAAGUUUAACAACGUGAAGGCAAGGAGAGGGACAGCAGGAUACAGCAAAGGAUAUGCUGGGGCCAGGAAAUGAGAAAAUAAUCCACAGCGCUCAACAAUGACUUAUGGGAUAUUUUACCAACAAAAACAUGCAAGAGGUUUUUGGUUUUUUGGGGGUUUUUUUUUGCAUGUCUGGCUCCCACCUCAGGCUGGCCAGGGAGAUUGUCCCAGUAUGAGGAGGGAAAUUACAGAGAAACUGGAUGCUAGAUCACUCUGAAGAGCAGAGCACAGCGUUUCACCUAUUUCCAUUGCUCUUGUGUGGUUCCCAAAUUAGAAACAAUCAGAAUCCUGCUGGAAACAAUAUAUGGCACCUUAAUUGGGUUGGCUGCACUACAGACGUCAGCAAUGUAUCACUUAGUAGAUCAUUUUCUGACUGCUUUUUUUUCCCUUUAAAACUAAAAACAGCUGCACUUUCAUGGUUCACCUUUUCUACAUCACCUUUACUACAGACACGGUAAGAAAUUAAAUGUUAGCACUCGUUGCCCACCAGAGAUCCUACAGGACCCACACCUGCUGCAGGCAGGAUCUGCCACCCAGUUCAGCAGAAUUGUACUUAAAGGUUUGUCUCUGCUUUUACAGAGAACCUGUUUUCUAAAACAUUUCCCCCUAGUACACCCAUCAAUGCAUCCACUUAAAAGCCUGGAACAGUUCGGUUAUCUCUAAAUAAAUCAACAACCCAGUGCUCCACACAUUCCAGGCACUCCAGAAUCCCUGCACGGGACUUGGGAACUCACAUGAGAAAUCUUUCCCAGUUUUCAUCCCCGAGUGUUACACCCCCAUUAUCCCCCAUCAAAUCCACACUGCAGCCAAACUGCAUUCCUGAGAAAUUAUUCCAAGAAUGAAAUAUCACCAUUUUCCUCACAAACCCUGGAAACUUGGACUAAUCUUCACACACAGCAAAAACAAGUUAAGCAAUGGGAAUACAUAAAUGAAGAAUAAUUCUGAAGCACAUUGGGGGAAUAAUUAUAGCAAACGCAGAACAAAUACAAAAUGAGUGGGGAGGUGUGGAGAGACACCCAGACAGAAUGUGCUGAAAUAAGGAAAAGGGACCUACAGGAUCUGUGAGGUUGGAUCAGCCACAAGCUACAGCUGCUGGCUUUUUAAGUGUUCAUUUAAAUCAAAUUACUAAAAACACAGGAACCAGCAGUAGAUGAACACAGAGGUCUCUGUCAGCUCCUGGUGUAGGCCAAGCUAUGGAAGUAAAAUCAGCUUUUGAAAGAUUACAACCCCUUGGAAAAAUAUCUUUGGGUAAAGUUCAGAACAACUUUUCUGGAUGUCAGCCAGCAGAAUGCCUGUUCAGGAGCUCUGUUCCUCAAGCAGUAUUUGGAAAGCAUUUUAUUUUUUGAAAGUAGAAAGAUUAAUAAUGUGACAAACUCAUUUUAGCAUUCACAGUCAAAGUAACGAUCUGCAAUUAAAAUAAAAAAAUUGCUCCAAGAUCUGUGUGGUAAAGAUUUCAACACGAGUCACAAAAUACAAUGGGAAAAUGGGAAUGUGGCAUACCACACAAGGAAUAAAAGAUUCAAUUACUCACUUCACUUCCUAGUUUGAGAACGUUUUAAAUUGUUUAAA